AUGAGCCGUUCCUCGGUGCUUGGUGCUCGCCCACUUGGAGGUGGUGGCUGUCGCUCUACUUCGACACCUAUUGCGACAUCCAUCGGUGCUGCUAGUCGCUCUACAUCGACUCCUAUUGCGGCUUGUGCGCACGGCGGUGACCGCUCUAUGUCGACUCCCCAUGUGGCUUCCACAUGUGGCUCUAUGUCGACUCUACCUUCGGCUUCCACGGGUGGUGGCGACUGUUCAUCGUCGGCAGAUGCUUCUACCUCAACCUCUUCUGUCCUGUCCCUGUGUGCAUGUGAGAUUGCACAGCUGCGAUGCGUGCUUGAUGCUUGGGAUUCUUCACCGACAGUUUCUGCAAGUUCCGUGACUGACUCUUCCGGCAUUGAGAAACCACUUCCUACUCGUUCAGUCUCCUGUUCGUGUUCUUACGGCUGA
RNAcentral lists this ribosomal RNA (420 nucleotides) under Triticum aestivum (bread wheat). Its description in RNAcentral is "partial small subunit ribosomal RNA". The record is from RNAcentral. Lineage: Eukaryota; Viridiplantae; Streptophyta; Magnoliopsida; Poales; Poaceae.